This 468-nucleotide ribosomal RNA is filed under the name uncultured bacterium. RNAcentral's name for it is "partial 16S ribosomal RNA". It matches the Rfam family "Bacterial small subunit ribosomal RNA", at positions 28 to 507 of the family's 1533-position model. The record is from RNAcentral.
GACGAACGCUGGCGGCGUGCUUAACACAUGCAAGUCGAACGGAAAGGCCCUGCUUUUGUGGGGUGCUCGAGUGGCGAACGGGUGAGUAACACGUGAGUAACCUGCCCUUGACUUUGGGAUAACUUCAGGAAACUGGGGCUAAUACCGGAUAGGAGCUCCUGCUGCAUGGUGGGGGUUGGAAAGUUUCGGCGGUUGGGGAUGGACUCGCGGCUUAUCAGCUUGUUGGUGGGGUAGUGGCUUACCAAGGCUUUGACGGGUAGCCGGCCUGAGAGGGUGACCGGCCCCAUUGGGACUGAGGUACGGCCCAGACUCCUACGGGAGGCAGCGGUGGGGAAUAUUGCACAAUGGGCGGAAGCCUGAUGCAGCAACGCCGCGUGCGGGAUGACGGCCUUCGGGUUGUAAACCGCUUUCGCCUGUGACGAAGCGUGAGUGACGGUAAUGGGUAAAGAAGCACCGGCUAACUACGUG